RNAcentral lists this ribosomal RNA (497 nucleotides) under uncultured bacterium. Its description in RNAcentral is "partial 16S ribosomal RNA". It matches the Rfam family "Bacterial small subunit ribosomal RNA", at positions 28 to 507 of the family's 1533-position model. The record is from RNAcentral.
GAUGAACGCUGGCGGCGUGCCUAAUACAUGCAAGUAGAACGCUGAAGGAAGGAGCUUGCUCUUUCCGGAUGAGUUGCGAACGGGUGAGUAACGCGUAGGUAACCUGCCUGGUAGCGGGGGAUAACUAUUGGAAACGAUAGCUAAUACCGCAUAACAGUAGAUGUUGCAUGAUAUCUACUUAAAAGGUGCAAUUGCACCACUACCAGAUGGACCUGCGUUGUAUUAGCUAGUUGGUGAGGUAACGGCUCACCAAGGCGACGAUACAUAGCCGACCUGAGAGGGUGAUCGGCCACCCUGGGACUGAGACACGGCCCAGACUCCUACGGGAGGCAGCAGUAGGGAAUCUUCGGCAAUGGACGGAAGUCUGACCGAGCAACGCCGCGGGAGUGAAGAAGGUUUUCGGAUCGUAAAGCUCUGUUGUAAGAGAAGAACGAGUGUGAGAGUGGAAAGUUCACACUGUGACGGUAGCUUACCAGAAAGGGACGGCUAACUACGUG